This is a non-coding RNA of Venturia effusa, 142 nucleotides long. Lineage: Eukaryota; Fungi; Ascomycota; Dothideomycetes; Venturiales; Venturiaceae. The record is from the annotation of a GenBank genome assembly.
GGGAGGAUGGCCGAGUGGUUAAGGCGCUGUGUUUAGGCUUCCAAGCAGAUCCGCAGUCCGAAAGGGCGAGGGUAUUUAUGAGAAAUGAAUAGUCAUCGAAGCCUGAUACUAAUGGUGUUAGGUUCGAACCCCUCUCCUCUCA